This 332-nucleotide ribosomal RNA is filed under the name uncultured Pseudomonadota bacterium. RNAcentral's name for it is "bacterial SSU rRNA". It matches the Rfam family "Bacterial small subunit ribosomal RNA", at positions 568 to 898 of the family's 1533-position model. Lineage: Bacteria; Pseudomonadati; Pseudomonadota. The record is from RNAcentral.
UGCGCAGGCGGUUUUGUAAGACAGAUGUGAAAUCCCCGGGCUUAACCUGGGAACUGCGUUUGUGACUGCAAGACUUGAGUGUGGCAGAGGGGGGUGGAAUUCCACGUGUAGCAGUGAAAUGCGUAGAGAUGUGGAGGAACACCGAUGGCGAAGGCAGCCCCCUGGGUCAACACUGACGCUCAUGCACGAAAGCGUGGGUAGCAAACAGGAUUAGAUACCCUGGUAGUCCACGCCCUAAACGAUGCGAACUAGGUGUUGGGGAAGGAGACUUCCUUAGUACCGCAGCUAACGCGUGAAGUUCGCCGCCUGGGGAGUACGGUCGCAAGAUUAAA